AUGGAGAACAGUGCUGGAACUAACACAGGACGAUCAGAACUUUGUCUCCAUUACUUUGAAGUUACUGUUCUUUGGAUUUUUGGUGACUUCCAAACAACCCAGUUGCAGGUGAAUCUCAAGAAGCACAAGUUCAGCAAAGAAGCCUCAUUGCCAGCGCUUGAACAGGAAAGUUAGACCCAUCCUAAUACCGCUGCCUACACAGACCAUCCGGGGAAGCAACUCUUAUGCAUAAGGGACCGACAAAUACUAACGCGAGAGCGAGCAGACCGACCGGACGAGGCGUCCCGAAGAAGAGCCACAGGCGAGGCCCACAGCCCAGCGCCCUUAGUCAUCAUCUCGGGCAGAAUCCGUGGAGAGACACAGCAAAGAAAAUUCCUGUCACCAAAGUGGAAAGGGAGGGACCAGAAUGGGAAAGUGACCCGUGACUCCAAAGUAAAAGGUCCACGGCCAAAGCGACUCUAACUGUCCCUUGGGAAAAAACUUGCACUCUCCCCUGAGCUAUCCUGGCAUCACGCUAUCGUUCUGAUUCUCUGUAAUACCAAAGCUGGGGUUAGCGUGGGGAUCCACCGUAUAACUCUGUAUUGUUGCCACCCAGGACAACUGACCGCUUUGGGGUGAACUCCCUCAGUUAA
This is a long non-coding RNA of Antechinus flavipes (yellow-footed antechinus), 632 nucleotides long. RefSeq lists it as uncharacterized. Lineage: Eukaryota; Metazoa; Chordata; Mammalia; Dasyuromorphia; Dasyuridae. The record is from RefSeq and is a predicted model, not a curated record. The transcript has 3 exons.